This 460-nucleotide ribosomal RNA is filed under the name uncultured bacterium. Its description in RNAcentral is "partial 16S ribosomal RNA". It matches the Rfam family "Bacterial small subunit ribosomal RNA", at positions 338 to 795 of the family's 1533-position model. The record is from RNAcentral.
CCUACGGGAGGCAGCAGUGAGGAAUAUUGGUCAAUGGACGAGAGUCUGAACCAGCCAAGUAGCGUGAAGGAUGACUGCCCUAUGGGUUGUAAACUUCUUUUAUAUGGGAAUAAAAUGUUCCACGUGUGGGAUUUUGUAUGUACCAUAUGAAUAAGGAUCGGCUAACUCCGUGCCAGCAGCCGCGGUAAUACGGAGGCUCCGAGCGUUAUCCGGAUUUAUUGGGUUUAUAGGGAGCGUAGGUGGAUUGUUAAGUCAGUUGUGAAAGUUUGCGGCUCAACCGUAAAAGUGCAGUUGAAACUGGCAGUCUUGAGUACAGUAGAGGUGGGCGGAAUUCGGGGUGUAGCGGUGAAAUGCUUAGAUAUCACGAAGAACUCCGAUUGCGAAGGCAGUUCACUGGACUGCAACUGACACUGAGGCUCGAAAGUGUGGGUAUCAAACAGGAUUAGAUACCCUUGUAGUC